RNAcentral lists this ribosomal RNA (505 nucleotides) under uncultured bacterium. RNAcentral's name for it is "bacterial SSU rRNA". It matches the Rfam family "Bacterial small subunit ribosomal RNA", at positions 501 to 1009 of the family's 1533-position model. The record is from RNAcentral.
CUACGUGCCAGCAGCCGCGGUAAUACGGAAGGUCCAGGCGUUAUCCGGAUUUAUUGGGUUUAAAGGGAGCGUAGGCUGGAGAUUAAGUGUGUUGUGAAAUGUAGACGCUCAACGUCUGAAUUGCAGCGCAUACUGGUUUCCUUGAGUACGCACAACGUUGGCGGAAUUCGUCGUGUAGCGGUGAAAUGCUUAGAUAUGACGAAGAACUCCGAUUGCGAAGGCAGCUGACGGGAGCGCAACUGACGCUUAAGCUCGAAGGUGCGGGUAUCAAACAGGAUUAGAUACCCUGGUAGUCCGCACAGUAAACGAUGGAUGCCCGCUGUUGGUACCUGGUAUCAGCGGCUAAGCGAAAGCAUUAAGCAUCCCACCUGGGGAGUACGCCGGCAACGGUGAAACUCAAAGGAAUUGACGGGGGCCCGCACAAGCGGUGGAGUAUGUGGUUUAAUUCGACGCAACGCGAAGAACCUUACCAGGUCUUGACAUUGAUGGACAGAACUAGAGAUAG